This is a long non-coding RNA of Corythoichthys intestinalis (scribbled pipefish), 380 nucleotides long. RefSeq lists it as uncharacterized. The record is from RefSeq and is a predicted model, not a curated record. The transcript is spliced from 3 exons. NCBI's taxonomy places the organism in Eukaryota, Metazoa, Chordata, Actinopteri, Syngnathiformes, Syngnathidae.
CAAAGACAAAGACUGUUGCAAUGGAGGUGCGAUACCAUAAAUCCUGUUACCGAGAUUACACCAGGUUCCUAACCUAGUCAACAGCAACAGAAACUGCAACGAGGGACGAAGAAAUACAACCCUGUGCUGAGAGCUACAAACUCUUAAGAACAAGUGGUCCGUCAAAGGAUUAUCGUUGACAAAGAAGUGCUCAGAAUGGACAAGCUAACAAGGUUGUUCGUGAAUACCUUGAAGAACCAUGAGAAUCUUGAUGAUUCAGACUACAGGUAGCUUUUGCUGAAAAGAAGAUUGAAGCGUGAUUUCCCCCAGUUGGUUUUUCACACCCCUUUCCAGCGCACCAUGUCUGAAAUGUUUUUUUUUUUUUUUUUUUUUUUUUUUUU